RNAcentral lists this long non-coding RNA (1050 nucleotides) under Apteryx haastii (Great spotted kiwi). Its description in RNAcentral is "lncRNA (ENSAHAG00000002917.1)". The record is from RNAcentral. Lineage: Eukaryota; Metazoa; Chordata; Aves; Apterygiformes; Apterygidae.
AUGGUCCCAGGCGAUACCCUCCCAGCCCUGCUAGGAGCAGAGGGGCUGCUGACACCAGCCGCUGCAGAAACRCCGGCCACCGCCUCCAGCUCUUCCUCCCRGCUCUCYGUCAUCACAACRGGGACAACCGCCUGCAACAGCCUCCGCUCUCCUCUGCCCUCUCAGGGGGCUUCCUCUUCAGAGCCUCCCCACGGCUGCUGGGGAGACCCUGGGGCUGCAGUGGCCUCGUGGGCAUGGGUGYCCGUGGCCCAGGGGAGCUCCUCRUGCCCAGGGCCCAGAUGUCUCCUGCUCCGGGAUGGGCCCUGUGCRGGGGCUGGUGACCCCUCUGCAGCUGGAGGGCUGUCCGGGCGGGAAGAGGCUGCGGGGCGUCCCUGCCUGCCUGCGGGAGCACGGGGGUCCCUGGGCGCCUGGGGAGCGACGGCCUCCCCAGAGCUGGCACACCUGGCCUUGGUGGUGAACUUGCAGAUGAACUGCUCCGUGCAUCCCAGCAAGAAUGGCCCCAGGUCAUCCGCAAAGGCCGGGCUGCCCACGUYGUACCUCCGCAUGUUCGUGGUGACGAUAAACUCCACCGCGGYGGCCAGUGUCUGGCGGCACCRAAGAGGAGGCGCAGCUCCCGCUUCAGCCAAGGCAGCAGCCUCUGCAGCACAGCCRGGUGGUGUCGGAAAAAGGCCGCCGAGAGCUCUGGCAGGUGGUCGCCGUCGGGCACCUCUGUCCCCUGCCCCACAGUGCGGGGCCGAGGGCGGUGGGAGCGCAGCCCCUGCUCCUGCUCCGGYGCCUGCCUCCAAGGGGUUCCCGCRGGACGCRCCAUCCUCCGGGAGAGUGGGCUCCUACUUCAGCCUGCCCGCGCUGCCUCCCUCUGCCRCAGCACAGCCAAGCCCGACGGCCCUGGCAGCCCGGUGCCGUCCUCAGGAGGGGACGGCACCCGUGGAGGGGAGGGAUCUGGCCACAGCAGGGCUGCCGGGGCAAGUGUCCAGGGCAGGUUGGGGAAGAAAGCAGCUCCCCAUGGCUGGAAGCUGGCGACGGAGCCGCCUGCAGGAGGCCCGACGGUGA